AUUGAACGCUGGCGGCAGGCCUAACACAUGCAAGUCGAACGGUAACAGGAAGCAGCUUGCUGCUUUGCUGACGAGUGGCGGACGGGUGAGUAAUGUCUGGGAAACUGCCUGAUGGAGGGGGAUAACUACUGGAAACGGUAGCUAAUACCGCAUAACGUCGCAAGACCAAAGAGGGGGACCUUCGGGCCUCUUGCCCUCGUAUGUGCCCAGAUGGGAUUAGCUUGUUGGUGGGGUAACGGCUCACCAAGGCGACGAUCCCUAGCUGGUCUGAGAGGAUGACCAGCCACACUGGAACUGAGACACGGUCCAGACUCCUACGGGAGGCAGCAGUGGGGAAUAUUGCACAAUGGGCGCAAGCCUGAUGCAGCCAUGCCGCGUGUAUGAAGAAGGCCUUCGGGUUGUAAAGUACUUUCAGCGGGGAGGAAGGGAGUAAAGUUAAUACCUUUACUCAUUGACGUUACCCGCAGAAGAAGCACCGGCUAACUCCGUG
This 490-nucleotide ribosomal RNA is filed under the name uncultured bacterium. RNAcentral describes it as "partial 16S ribosomal RNA". It matches the Rfam family "Bacterial small subunit ribosomal RNA", at positions 30 to 507 of the family's 1533-position model. The record is from RNAcentral.